This 301-nucleotide ribosomal RNA is filed under the name uncultured bacterium. Its description in RNAcentral is "partial 16S ribosomal RNA". It matches the Rfam family "Bacterial small subunit ribosomal RNA", at positions 509 to 809 of the family's 1533-position model. The record is from RNAcentral.
CAGUAGCCGCGGUAAAACGUAGGGUGCGAGCGUUAAUCGGAAUUACUGGGCGUAAAGCGUGCGCAGGCGGUUCGUUAAGACAGAUGUGAAAUCCCCGGGCUUAACCUGGGAACUGCAUUUGUGACUGACGGGCUAGAGUAUGGCAGAGGGGGGUAGAAUUCCACGUGUAGCAGUGAAAUGCGUAGAGAUGUGGAGGAAUACCGAUGGCGAAGGCAGCCCCCUGGGCCAAUACUGACGCUCAUGCACGAAAGCGUGGGGAGCAAACAGGAUUAGAUACCCCCGUAGUCCCUGUCUCUUAUAA